This 852-nucleotide ribosomal RNA is filed under the name uncultured bacterium. RNAcentral describes it as "bacterial SSU rRNA". It matches the Rfam family "Bacterial small subunit ribosomal RNA", at positions 97 to 946 of the family's 1533-position model. The record is from RNAcentral.
GGCGAACGGGUGAGUAAUAUAUCGGAACAUGUCCGGAAGUGGGGGAUAACGUACCGAAAGGUACGCUAAUACCGCAUAUGCCCUGAGGGGGAAAGGAGGGGAUCGCAAGACCUUUCGCUUUCGGAGUGGCCGAUAUCGGAUUAGCUAGUUGGUGAGGUAAAGGCUCACCAAGGCGACGAUCCGUAGCUGGUCUGAGAGGACGACCAGCCACACUGGAACUGAGACACGGUCCAGACUCCUACGGGAGGCAGCAGUGGGGAAUUUUGGACAAUGGGGGCAACCCUGAUCCAGCCAUGCCGCGUGAGUGAAGAAGGCCUUCGGGUUGUAAAGCUCUUUCAGCCGGAAAGAAACGGUUACGGUGAAUAUCCGUGACUAAUGACGGUACCGGCAGAAGAAGCACCGGCUAACUACGUGCCAGCAGCCGCGGUAAUACGUAGGGUGCGAGCGUUAAUCGGAGUUACUGGGCGUAAAGCGUGCGCAGGCGGUUUUGUAAGACAGACGUGAAAUCCCCGGGCUUAACCUGGGAACUGCGUUUGUGACUGUAUAGCUAGAGUGUGUCAGAGGGGGGUAGAAUUCCACGUGUAGCAGUGAAAUGCGUAGAUAUGUGGAGGAAUACCAAUGGCGAAGGCAGCCCCCUGGGAUAACACUGACGCUCAUGCACGAAAGCGUGGGGAGCAAACAGGAUUAGAUACCCUGGUAGUCCACGCCCUAAACGAUGCUGACUAGUUGUUCGGGAUUUACAUCCUGAGUAACGUAGCUAACGCGUGAAGUCAGCCGCCUGGGGAGUACGGUCGCAAGAUUAAAACUCAAAGGAAUUGACGGGGACCCGCACAAGCGGUGGAUGAUGUGGAU